Cucurbita maxima (winter squash) is the source of this 1451-nucleotide long non-coding RNA. RefSeq lists it as uncharacterized. The record is from RefSeq and is a predicted model, not a curated record. NCBI's taxonomy places the organism in Eukaryota, Viridiplantae, Streptophyta, Magnoliopsida, Cucurbitales, Cucurbitaceae. The transcript is spliced from 3 exons.
UAAUGUCCCAAACUCUUAUGGCAGCCUAUGUCCCAUCAUCUCCAUAUAUUUCCCUUUUCUUUUCUCCUUUAUUACCCUUCUUUCUUUUUCCCUCUUUCCUUUCAAACGCUGUUCCUCCAUUGUUUAGGGUUUCAUGUCCUCCACUCUUCUUCACCAUCCUCAUGCUGCCUCUUCCAGGUUUUUGAGACAGCCCAUGUCCGAAAAGGUGUGUAAUGAAGGAUAUAUUGCAUGAAGAAAUGGAGAGAGAGAGCUUCCCUCAGCCCACUCAUGGAAGGACUCAAAGGGGUUGCUGAACUAACUGCCGACUCAUUCACUCAAACACUCAGUACUAUUCUUUCCUCUCUACUGUGACUGCGUGAAUGAAGCGGGAGAUAUUUUGCUCUCUCUCUUUUUCUUUGCUUGGACUGAAGGGAGCUCCUCCUUUCUACUUCUCCAUAAAACUCUCAACCCAAUUCAACUCCCGCCUUCUUUGCCCUACCCGACCCCGAUGAGUUCGGACGAUUUUUUGGGAGGGUGGACUCACCUUGUUGGCCCUAGUCGACCCUGAUGAGUUCAAGACGAUUUUUGGGAAGGUGAAUUGAUCUUGUUAGCCCUAGUCGACCCUGAUAAGCUCGGGACGACUUUUGGGACAAUCAACUGACCUUAUUUGCCCUAGUCGACCCUGAUGAGCUCGGAACGACUUUUGGGAGGAUGAACUGACCUUGUUUCCCUAGACGACCCUGAUGAGCUCGAGACGACUUUUGAGACAAUCAACAGACCUUGUUUACCCUAGUCGAGCCUGAUGAGUUCAAGACGACUUUUGGGACAAUCAACUGACCUUGUUUAUCCUAGUCGACCCUGAUGAGUUCAAGACGACUUUUGGGACAAUCAACCGACCUUGUUUGCCCUAGUCGACCCUGAUGAGUUCAAGACGACCUUUGGGACAAUCAACUGACCUUGUUUGCCCUAGUCGACCCUGAUGAGUUCAAGACGACCUUUGGGACAAUCAACUGACCUUGUUUGCCCUAGUCGACCCCGAUGAGUUCGAGACGACUUUAGGGAGGACGAAUUAAUCUUGUUUGCCCUGGACAUUGAAAUAUUCUAGAUCAAGAAAAGAAAUUAUUUAAUAAUCGUAUGAGUUAGAAGAAGUCUCUAAGAUCUGAUCCAAUUGAUGAUGAACAAUGUCCACAAAUGUAGAGGCAAGGCUUUCACAGCUAUCAGCAAACCCUGUCCCCAAAAAGGUAACUUUUUGGUACCCAUCUCUUACCCUUCACUUUGAUAACUAGUUGGCUCGACUCCGUUCGGUUCGAUUCGGUUCUGUUUUCAUUAGAACCUUGUUUAUAUGCUCCCUUUGUUGAAGUAAAUGGCUAGAAAAGUUAGGCCUCUGAAAUGAUUGCACCAAAAAAACAACAAAAUCAAGGCAUGCAAAGGUUAAAAUUAUGCAAUUUCAACACAAUUUGGUAAAAAACAAA